This is a non-coding RNA of Parelaphostrongylus tenuis, 75 nucleotides long. Lineage: Eukaryota; Metazoa; Nematoda; Chromadorea; Rhabditida; Metastrongylidae. The record is from the annotation of a GenBank genome assembly.
GCGUCAAUGGCUCAACGGUCUGGAGCACGGGUUCCUGGAUAGAGUGAGACCUAGGUUCAAGCCCCGCUUGACACA